RNAcentral lists this transfer RNA (76 nucleotides) under Martelella mediterranea. RNAcentral describes it as "tRNA-Thr". It matches the Rfam family "tRNA". From Rfam's summary of the family: Transfer RNA (tRNA) molecules are approximately 80 nucleotides in length. Their secondary structure includes four short double-helical elements and three loops (D, anti-codon, and T loops). Lineage: Bacteria; Pseudomonadati; Pseudomonadota; Alphaproteobacteria; Hyphomicrobiales; Aurantimonadaceae. RNAcentral also lists the same sequence under 13 other names. The record is from RNAcentral.
GCCCUUGUAGCUCAGUUGGUAGAGCAUCUGAUUUGUAAUCAGAGGGUCGCGGGUUCGAAUCCUGCCGGGGGCACCA